This is a long non-coding RNA of Lytechinus variegatus (green sea urchin), 595 nucleotides long. RefSeq lists it as uncharacterized. The transcript has 3 exons. The record is from RefSeq and is a predicted model, not a curated record. Lineage: Eukaryota; Metazoa; Echinodermata; Echinoidea; Temnopleuroida; Toxopneustidae.
CUAGCCAGGUUGCUCCCCAGGGAUUGGAGUUGGUGCAUUCUAUUUGUGUAACAGUGAUAGAUCCAAUGCCUGGGGUCAUAAUCAUGUUUCAAUCACCAAAAACACAAGGGUUUUUAAAGUGCCAAAUGAAUCUAGCUCUAAUCUGUUGGAAAGUCAUUUUGAUUUCUCUCUCUUUUUUCCCAGCAAGCAAGAACUAUUCAAGAACUCAUUCUGCUUCUUUGUACUGCCACACCUUGUAAAUCCUCCGUUUGUUAGCUACGUCAUUCCAGCCGGAUCAUGGAUGGAGUAAAAAUCAUGGCCAAGUAUGAACUUCAAAAGCAUACCUUGGAGCAAUUACAAGAGCCAGGCAAGAAGGAGGCUUAGGAUUGAGUGACUGGAUUCCCUUUAUAUAAGUAGACUAUCAUACAGUCAUCAGCCAGAAGAACUAAAUGAGCUCAUGAAACAUGGAAAUUAGACUAAUGCAUCAGGGACCAGUUCCAUGACGAGAUCAGAGAGAUGUUUGGUUGUCCCACACAGAUCUUAGGUCAGCCAGCAACAUCUUCCCGAUCAGACCACUAACUCAAAACUCAGCAAGCUUGGAGGAAUAGUUUGAGAA